This 76-nucleotide transfer RNA is filed under the name Desulfobulbus propionicus. RNAcentral's name for it is "tRNA-Phe". It matches the Rfam family "tRNA". From Rfam's summary of the family: Transfer RNA (tRNA) molecules are approximately 80 nucleotides in length. Lineage: Bacteria; Pseudomonadati; Thermodesulfobacteriota; Desulfobulbia; Desulfobulbales; Desulfobulbaceae. The record is from RNAcentral. RNAcentral also lists the same sequence under 10 other names.
GCCGGGAUAGCUCAGUCGGUAGAGCAACGGACUGAAAAUCCGUGUGUCCCUGGUUCAAAUCCUGGUCCCGGCACCA